This 469-nucleotide ribosomal RNA is filed under the name uncultured beta proteobacterium. RNAcentral's name for it is "bacterial SSU rRNA". It matches the Rfam family "Bacterial small subunit ribosomal RNA", at positions 194 to 649 of the family's 1533-position model. Lineage: Bacteria; Pseudomonadati; Pseudomonadota; Betaproteobacteria. The record is from RNAcentral.
GGAGGAAAGCAGGGGAUCGCAAGACCUCUCACUAUUGGAGCGGCCGAUGUCUGAUUAGCUAGUUGGCGGGGUAAUAGCCCACCAAGGCGACGAUCAGUAGCUGGUUUGAGAGAACGACCAGCCACACUGGGACUGAGACACGGCCCAGACUCCUACGGGAGGCAGCAGUGGGGAAUUUUGGACAAUGGGGGCAACCCUGAUCCAGCCAUGCCGCGUGCGGGAAGAAGGCCUUCGGGUUGUAAACCGCUUUUGUCAGGGAAGGAAUUGGACUUACUAAUACUAGGUCUAGAUGACGGUACCUGGAGAAUAAGCACCGGCUAACUACGUGCCAGCAGCCGCGGUAAUACGUAGGGUGCAAGCGUUAAUCGGAAUUACUGGGCGUAAAGCGUGCGCAGGCGGUUUUGCAAGUCAGAUGUGGAAGCCCCGGGCUCAACCUGGGAAUUGCGUUUGAAAUAGGAAGCUAAAGGGC